Molecule: long non-coding RNA, 2504 nt
Filed under: Homo sapiens (human)
Lineage: Eukaryota; Metazoa; Chordata; Mammalia; Primates; Hominidae
Description: HSALNT0235655
Source: RNAcentral
CCGAAACGUCAUUAUGUGAUGCAGGACAGUUCUUACGUUGCUUCCCCUGAAGGCACAGCAACAAGGCCAGAAGAAGCAAGCUGGGAGGCAGAGGUGGAUGUGUUGGGGCUGAGACCGGCUCCAGGCUAACCCAGGCAGAGUCUGAUUCAGCGAUCGCUGGCGACUCCUCAGGACUGUUGCCCCAGCUCAUCCAUCUUUCUGCCACACGGAAGCCACCCGGUCCCUGCGUGGGUGGGGGCUCUCUGCAGCCCCCCGCCGAGGGAAGGUUGCAUCUGUUGCUUGGCCUUUUCUGCAGGCUGCCAACUCAGCAAGGAGCACGUCUCUCCAUGGAGAGGGAAAAUGUCACCAACUUGGCUUCCACGUCGAGCGUGUCGAGCGUGUGGAGGUCACUGGCCUGAUCGGGUGGCCGAGCUCAGUGCCCCUGGGGUGGGGGAGCAAACUCACGGGGGACGGAAGCUAUGAUACAUUCCUGCGGGGGACGGAUUUGCUACCAUCCAAUGCUCAGUCCACAGCAGCGCCCGACCAGGACUGGGAUCCUCUCUCUGCUUUUGUACUCGGGAGCCCUAGAAAUGGGAGCAUCGUCGUGUCUCUCAGCCCUGGAGUCGUCUAGAGCCCUCGGUCCCCCUGAGCCUGCACCUCACGCCAUCCUGCGCUAUCACCAGAUCCUGUUCCUGAGACGUGACUCUCGGCUCCUUCAGAGGCCGCACGGCACGGCGCACAGGUUUGGGGAUGGCAGACCUGGGUGGGCUCCCGGGCAAGUCACCCAAAGCCUCUCUAAACCUCAGACGUUCUCAGCUGUAAAGUGGGAUAAUACUUACACCCUUGGGUUGUUUUGAGGAUCAACUGAGACACAGGAAAAGCAACCAGCACGUAAUAGCGACUCGAUAAAUGCCAGCUGCGGUUAGUGCAGCCCCUCGUACCGUGUUCUGCAGCCCGGCGUGGUUUUCCUCUAGUCCCACACGAUCUAAUACGGUAGCCACCAGCUGCAGGUGGCUAUUUAAGUGCAAACUGAUUGUGAUGGAAUAAAAUGAAAAACAGCUCUGAGGUCACACUGACCCCAUUUCAGGUACUCCGUGGCCUCACGUGGCCGGUGGCUACCGCAAGGGACAGCAGAGAAAUACAUUUUCAUCCUCACCGUGAGGUUCUGCAGGACGGCGCUCGGCCAGAGGACCCUGCCCUCAGUCUCCCCACUCAACCUGCCAACAGCCUGCUCCCCUGCUCCCCUACAGCUUCCAAUCAACCCGACUGAUGCACUCAUGUGCCUGCCCCUCAGCGCGGCUCUAUCUCCACCCCCAUCCCGUCUAGCGCUCACCUCCCCUGCGAUUCACUAAUCCACGUUACCAUCACCCGCUGAGCACCCGUGAGGGGCACAGGCCUGGCGUGACAGGACACGGAUGAACAGGGUGGGGCCCAGGCCCCACUGUGCACCCCGGGAUGCCCUCAACACUUGCUCCGAUGUCCCCCCGCCACUGCUGGGGGGGUGCUCGGCUGCCCUGUGGGGGGGUUUGAGGGACAAAUGUGCACGUGUCUCACUGAUGAAACAGUGCCGUGGGGGCAGGGAGAGAAGCCAGGAGAGUGUCCACGGAACUGAGUCCUGUCCUCUACUCACAGACCACGAGGACGCGGAGCCAACGGAUCUGGGGACAGGAGCAGCGUGGACCAGUCGCCCUCCAGAGGUUGGGUGAAGGGCUGUCCCUGCUGGGCCCACGAACCUCUGCCUUCCCCUUAGGGUCUGGUGCUUCCUGCUCCCCAGAUCGCGCCUCGGGCAGCCUGUUUUCCCGCUACCAACCAACGCUGGCGGCACCUGGGGUCAGUUCUCCACCUCAGCCAUCCCCCUGCUGCUUCAGUGUCUCUGGCUGGCAGGGGGCAGGGGGCGUUCCUAAGAGGCGAGGGCUACGGAAAGACGACACGCUCCCACUCAAAUAACACAUAAUUGCUGCUUUCGUAAAUCUCAGAUCAAUAAGGCAGUCAUGGGCCUCUUCCAAUGGGCUCGGUCUUUGUUCCCAGGUUCCAAUAAAGAAAACGAAACAGGUGGUAUUUUUGAAAACCCAUGCGACAGCGAGCAAGCCAGCCUCUACAUCACCUUGGUGCAAACACAGCCCUUCACGAUCUGUGUCUAGGACAGUCCCGGGGCCCAGGGGUGGCCACUCACUUCCCUGCCUGAGAUGGGCUUCCUCGGAGUGGAUUUGCCCAGGGCAAGCGAGUCCUGGCUUCCCGGGCUUGGCUGCCUCAUGCACCCUGCAGCCUGGAACUGCGUCCGGGUGUUAAACGAUGAAGCUUCUGGGCCUAACCCAGGGCAGAAGCCACACAACUCCAGGCUUUCAGACCUCGCACCCUCUCUCUCCACCGUCAGACCUCGCACCCUCUCUCUCCACCGUCAGACCUCGCACCCUCUCUCCACCGUCAGACCUCACACCCUCUCUCCACCGUCAGACCUCACACCCUCUCUCCACCGUCAGACCUCACUCCCUCUCUCUCCACCGUCAGACCUCACUCCCUCUCUC